RNAcentral lists this ribosomal RNA (413 nucleotides) under Nanoglomus plukenetiae. RNAcentral describes it as "partial large subunit ribosomal RNA". Lineage: Eukaryota; Fungi; Glomeromycota; Glomeromycetes; Glomerales; Glomeraceae. The record is from RNAcentral.
AGAGUUAAACAGUACGUGAAAUUGUUGAAAGGGAAACGAUUGAAGUCAGUCGUACUGGCGGGAAAUCAACUUCUCGAGUGCUUGUCGUGGAUGACGUUGAGCUUCACGGCCUUCGUUGCUUACGUUAUGGUGCUUUUGAGGUGUACUUUUCCGUAUGGUAGGUCAACAUCGAUUUUGAUCGUCAUAAAAUGAUCGGAAGAAUGUGGCUCUGAUCUCGUAUCGGAGUGUUAAAGCCUUUGGUAGAUGUGACGAUUGAGAUCGAGGAUUGCAACGAAUACCCUUUGGGCUAUCCGUCUGACCUCUGAAAGUCACUCGGAUGUUGAAAGCGUGCUUAUAACAUUCUAGUUGGCGGUCAAAAGGUUAGAACGUGAUUACAUUCGUUAAGGAUGUUGACGUAAUGGCUUUAAACGACC